GAAAUGCGAUACCUGGUGUGAAUUGCAGAAUCCCGCGAACCAUCGAGUCUUUGAACGCAAGUUGCGCCCGAGGCCUCUUGGCCGAGGGCACGCCUGCCUGGGCGUCACGCCAAACACGCUCCCACCCCACUAACCUGGGGCGGGACGCGGCAUGUGGCUCCUCGUCUCGCAAGGGGCGGUGGGCCGAAGAUCCGGCUGCCGGCGUAUCGUGCCGGACACAGCGCGUGGUAGGCGACCUCGCUUUACUAAACGCAGUGCAUCCGGCGCGUAGCCGACGCGAUGGCCUCAAUGGACCCUUUUAACGGAGUGCAUGACGCUUCGACCGCGACCCCAGGUCAGGCGGGACUACCCGCUGAAUUUAA
RNAcentral lists this unclassified non-coding RNA (362 nucleotides) under uncultured fungus. Its description in RNAcentral is "sequence contains ITS1". The stretch from base 1 to 107 matches the Rfam family "5.8S ribosomal RNA", at positions 50 to 154 of the family's 154-position model. The record is from RNAcentral. Lineage: Eukaryota; Fungi.